UGGCUCCAUCCUCAGCAUCCUUCUCCCAAUAUACCCUGGGUCCAUCCUCUGCACAUGUCCAAACCAUCUCAAGCUUUGUCUCUCUGACUUUGUCUCCAAACCGUCCCACCUGAGCUCUCCCUCUGAUACGUUCAUUUGUAAUCCUGUUCAUUCUCGUAACUCCCAAAGAGAAUCGCAACAUCUUCAGUUCUGUCACCUCCAGUUCUGCCUCCUGUCUCUUUGUUAGAACCACUGU
Molecule: long non-coding RNA, 235 nt
Organism: Thalassophryne amazonica
Lineage: Eukaryota; Metazoa; Chordata; Actinopteri; Batrachoidiformes; Batrachoididae
Exons: 4
Source: RefSeq, a predicted model, not a curated record